CGGAUGGGUGAGUAACACGUGGGUAACCUGCCCUAAAGUCUGGGAUACCACUUGGAAACAGGUGCUAAUACCGGAUAACAACAAUAGCUGCAUGGCUAUUGCUUAAAAGGCGGCGAAAGCUGUCGCUAAAGGAUGGACCCGCGGUGCAUUAGCUAGUUGGUAAGGUAAUGGCUUACCAAGGCGACGAUGCAUAGCCGAGUUGAGAGACUGAUCGGCCACAUUGGGACUGAGACACGGCCCAAACUCCUACGGGAGGCAGCAGUAGGGAAUCUUCCACAAUGGGCGAAAGCCUGAUGGAGCAACGCCGCGUGAGUGAAGAAGGUUUUCGGAUCGUAAAGCUCUGUUGUUGGUGAAGAAGGAUAGAGGUAGUAACUGGCCCCUAUUUGACGGUAAUCAACCAGAAAGUCACGGCUAACUACGUGCCAGCAGCCGCGGUAAUACGUAGGUGGCAAGCGUUGUCCGGAUUUAUUGGGCGUAAAGCGAGCGCAGGCGGAAAGAUAAGUCUGAUGUGAAAGCCCCCGGCUUAACCGAGGAAUUGCAUCGGAAACUGUGUUUCUUGAGUGCAGAAGAGGAGAGUGGAACUCCAUGUGUAGCGGUGGAAUGCGUAGAUAUAUGGAAGAACACCAGUGGCGAAGGCGGCUCUCUGGUCUGUAA
RNAcentral lists this ribosomal RNA (654 nucleotides) under uncultured bacterium. RNAcentral describes it as "bacterial SSU rRNA". It matches the Rfam family "Bacterial small subunit ribosomal RNA", at positions 99 to 739 of the family's 1533-position model. The record is from RNAcentral.